Long non-coding RNA from Suricata suricatta (meerkat), 3701 nucleotides. RefSeq lists it as uncharacterized. The transcript is spliced from 2 exons. The record is from RefSeq and is a predicted model, not a curated record. Lineage: Eukaryota; Metazoa; Chordata; Mammalia; Carnivora; Herpestidae.
CCUGCCCUCCGCCCCGGGCCCAGGCCCGGGCCCCGCCGGCCGGCCGAGUGGGGAGGGGACGGGGUCACUCGGACCAGGAAGUGGGGAUCCUGUUGCUCCGGGUGUGUCUGGGGAGCUCCCGUUCUUCUCUCGAUGGGCUUGAGCAGAGGUGGGUUUUGAAGGAAUUAGAGAAAAAAUAAAUCUAAAGAUGCCCUGCGUUCGAAAUAGGACCAGGGUACACGGUAGUGAAAAGGACAGGUCAGCAGUCUCUUACCACCUGCGUCUCAGUCAGUCCAGUCAGAACGUAAACUUAGAUUUCGGCGCAGUUUUGUGUUGCAUAUUCGUUUCUUAUUUUUACGUAAAAUGGCCUUUAAUUUUGGAUGAGAUGCUACGAGAAUAUAAUCUGUAGGGUAGCUCUUAAGCGCUCGAGACAGGCUUCCUGCCUGCACUGUAAUUUGUCCUAAUGGUAAAUGGAAGUUUGAAGUUUUGGGUAGCCGAGGAAACCGAAGGAUCUCCUGGCACUGUGUAGGGAAAUUACUUGGUAAGUGUGAGGGUUUUAAAAAUGGAUAAUGCCAAGUUGAAGAUGAGUAUUGUAAAUAUACAAAUUACUUUCCCUUUUGAAAGUUUUUUUUCUUAUGCUACUUAACUGGUCUCUUAAGUUGUGUUAAGAAUUUAAAAUGCACUUGAAAUAGGUGCGAGUUGUGCUUUGCGAAACGGGGGAGGGGAAGAGAUGUUCACUGGUGCACUGUGAGCAAUGUGCAAUUUCCAUACUUCCCCACCUGCCCGGCUCCCUCUAAUUUACAGUCAGGGUAAUUUACAGAAGUUGAAAUGGUUGUGGCUUUUAAAUUUUCCUCUGUAUUUAGUAUAGGGAGAGGCAGUUUGAUGAAACAAGCCAUGAGAGAGAGCCCUUGCCUAGAGUUUGCUUGGGUUGCUAAAGUGAAAUACUUUCUGAGAGGCAUCAGAUUAGCAAGUUUAUUAUUUAACCAUAAAGUUGAUUUGUUUAUUUCCCUUUGAAACUUGUCUUUGGUUAGAGAUAAAUUUCAUUCUAUAUUUUGAAACAUUAAUGUGACCCGACUUAUUUACAUGGAAGAAUGGCAUGACGUCUUACUGGUUACAAAUGACUUACCUCUCUUGGCACCUCACUGUUCUCAUCUCUAGAAUGGGAUAGUAAGGUCAGUCUCUUAGGGCUGUUGUUAACAACUUGGGUGUAAAUUAAUAGUUUCUUAUUAAAACUUUUGAAAAUGUUUACCUUAUUACUAUUUUCAAAAUUCUUUAUGUGACUGUCAAUUUUAAUUUUUUAGAGAGUUUUCGUUUUGGUGUAAUAUGGUGGUUUGUUUUUGUUUGGUCACAUGUAUCUGGGCAGAGAAAGCCAGUCCUGAGGAUAAAAUGUAUAUUUUGAGAAAGGAGUGACACUGUAUUUGAGUAGGAGCCAGAGAGAAAAUAGAUGAUAAUGCGAGAGCUAGCCUUCAUUUUAACGUGUUUGUGGAAGGGUAGCUGAAGUUAGGUGGCAGCAUAUUCAGGGAGAUAGUGAUUUUACUUAGGUUUCCAGGGAUUGUGCUUUCAAAGAAGUUGAGAGUUGGAGAAUUUAUUGACCUUAAUAUUAUUUCCAUAAAUAAGCAUAAGUUUUGACAAAUACAUAUUAAACUCUGCAGACACAGUGACCUAUUUGUAUAAAACAGUCUUCAUAUUAUCAUAAAACAUAGUUCUAAAAUAAGAAAAGUGCAAGUUGGGAGCAGCAGGCUGUUAACAGUAAUACAAUAAACUACUGUCAGGCAGCUUCUCUCCUGUUCAGUGGAUUUGCAACAGUAGUUACAAGUUUUUUUGGUCUAGACCUAUGGUCCUGUUUCCCAAGUUCGAAGUGGCUGACAGACAAGGUCCUUCCACUGUUAUUUCAAAGUGUGAUGCUGGAUUCAUGCUCUCCACGCAGUAAGUGGGGUCAUAAUUUUGGUCAUCUGGUUUUAGUAACAUGGGCUCUCUGAUGGUCCCUGGGGAUUGUUAAAAGCAGUACAGAUCUGUGUUACUUGAGCUUCCAUUUGUUGUCCUCACCUGAAAGGCACAAGGUGUAAAUAUGCUUGUGUGACCUCAUCGUUUUGCUCUUCCCGAGUUCUCUUGUACUUAAAGAUUUUUUCAGUUAGAUAAAUGCCAGAAAAUCUCAGCAUAUUCUUGAAUGAAAUUCUUCCGAUCAGGCCGUUGACUCAACCUUUUUUAAUGGAAAGAAGAAAACACUGAAGUUGUUUUUAUGGAAAAUACAUUGUUAAAAACUGACGCUGUUGCUGAGCUUUGUUGCUUUUGCUCUUUUGUAAAACUUUAUUCCUGUUAAGAGUUCUGUUUUUUCCGUAAAAGCUAAUUUUAGAGAACACAGUAAAUGAGACACUGCCUUCUGAGAAACUCACCCGAUCUGAUUGUAGUUUGGUUCAGUUCGGACUGUUUGCUAAUGGUUGGACUUGCUGGUGUCUUUGGAGCUAGUCUGCUUCUCCUGGCAUUACCUUGAUUAGAAAAUGAAUUUCUUUAUUAGAAUAUGGAAUUGCGAAGUGGAAAGCUAUUAGGUUCUCCUCCUAGAAGGAAGAUAAUUCCAAUGUGGAAAUUUUUUUUCCCUAAUGAUCCAACGCUUUAUUUUUCCUGCAUGUAAAUAUGUCUUUAAUCUUCGUAACUGGUAAGAAAAGUAUCUACUCUGCCCUGUCUCUUCCUUUACCUUCCCCCACCCCGCAGCCCCUUUUGUCCCUUCUGUGCUUCCGUAGACUGACUUUCCCCAUUCUCUGGGAGCCGCCCUGGGGCAGGUAGUAAGGGCGGCAGGUGAGUCGUGGUUCGGUUUUGUCUUUAGUGUCCGCCCUACUUCCCUGAUAGUGAGACCUGGGUCAUAGAGUGAAUUGUAUAACACGAAGGACAUUUCAUAAUUUGACUCAAAUUUAAAAGCUGCUAUUUAGAGAGAGUUUGAUAAUCCUUAGGAUGAGACUUAGUCUUCACUAUAAAUGUUCUUUAUGAAAUCUGAUAUGCAAAUGUUUUGGCUUAAACACUUAUAAAUUAGGAUAGUAUUUGUGUGACAGAAAUAACGUGUCUCUUUUUACAGCACGCCGUUUUAGUCACACUAUGGCCAGAGGCCCCUUUAAAAGCAUAUCCUGUUUGUUAGGCCCUUUUUAAAACGCCUCAGUGACCAUCCCCUGCCUAAAUAAGAAAAGCCCAGGGGCCUGGGCACUUCUGCCUCCCCCGUGCUGGCUGGGCCACCUUUGCGGGGCCUGGACUGGCCACUGCCUCUGUCUCAGAACCGUGAUGCCUCGUCUCUGCUCCCUGUAGUUUCUUUGCUGGGAAUUGAAUGCCUUUUUUUUUUUUUUUUAACUUAAAUUUUGCUCUUUAUUCCAUCCUUAUAAAGGUAUUUCAGGAGUCUUUCAAGGGUCCUUGCCUUAAUUUCUAAAGUCCAGCUCAGUGCUUCUGUAUCACCUUAGGCACAGCACCUAAUUACUGUAAAAAGCUCCUUGUGGGUGAGAUGGUUUUUUUGUAACCUCUUUGCCCAGCUCAGGUCCAGGCCCCUACGGAUCUUCCUCCCUGGAUGAUGGGCUCCUGUCCUGCUAGACCUCUCGGAAAGGACUCCGCUUUCAUCAGAUUUCCCAAAAGAUCUUUGACCUCUACCUUCAGUACAAAAAACGUUUUAGCAUGUGUUUACCACUUAGGAACUUCUUCAAGGAUUUGUUAUUUUAAUAAUUAAAUGUAAUUUUUAAUUGUCAACA